AAGUCGUAACAAGGUUUCCGUAGGUGAACCUGCGGAAGGAUCAUUAAUGAAUGUAAGGAUGCUCUUUUUAGAGGUCCGACCCGAUCAUUUUUCCAACCCUGUGCACACACACUACUUUUUUAAUACACCAUUUUAAAAACUCGUAAAAGUCUAUAAGGAUGUAAAAGUCUCUUCAUUGAGCAUAAAAUAAAACAAAA
This 197-nucleotide unclassified non-coding RNA is filed under the name plant metagenome. Its description in RNAcentral is "partial contains small subunit ribosomal RNA and internal transcribed spacer 1". The stretch from base 1 to 46 matches the Rfam family "Eukaryotic small subunit ribosomal RNA", at positions 1786 to 1831 of the family's 1831-position model. The record is from RNAcentral.